GACGAACGCUGGCGGCGUGCUUAACACAUGCAAGUCGAACGGAAAGGCCCUGCUUUUGUGGGGUGCUCGAGUGGCGAACGGGUGAGUAACACGUGAGUAACCUGCCCUUGACUUUGGGAUAACUUCAGGAAACUGGGGCUAAUACCGGAUAGGAGCUCCUGCUGCAUGGUGGGGGUUGGAAAGUUUCGGCGGUUGGGGAUGGACUCGCGGCUUAUCAGCUGGUUGGUGGGGUAGUGGCUGACCAAGGCUUUGACGGGUAGCCGGCCUGAGAGGGUGACCGGGCACAUUGGGACUGAGAUAGGGACCAGACUCCUACGGGAGGCAGCAGUGGGGAAUAUUGCACAAUGGGCGGACGCCUGAUGCAGAAACGCCGCGUGCGGGAUGACGGCCUUCGGGUUGUAAACCGCUUUCGCAUGUGACGAAGCGUGAGUGACGGUAAUGGGUAAAGAAGCACCGGCUAACUACGUG
This 468-nucleotide ribosomal RNA is filed under the name uncultured bacterium. RNAcentral describes it as "partial 16S ribosomal RNA". It matches the Rfam family "Bacterial small subunit ribosomal RNA", at positions 28 to 507 of the family's 1533-position model. The record is from RNAcentral.